UGACUGUUACUGUAUAUUCCACUGUAAACCAUUGGAGGGCAGAAAAAUAAGAGAUGAAGGAAUGUGGGAGGACAUUGGCAUUGUAUGGAUUCCCUCAGAGUAUCUCACUCUCUCCGCUCUCGCCCUGGCGUCUCUCAAGGUAGUUUCUAUAGAUAUUUAUAGGCAGCAUUUACUUACUUAUUUUCAGAGAUAAUGGGGGGCUCCUGCUGAGAGCAGAGAGGAACAUAGCAGCUUUGCUGGAAGAAAUAUUAUAUGAAUAUGAUUUAGUACACCAAAGUUACAGAUGGGUUUUGUAAUUGACACAGAUUAGUCUAUUAAAGCCAUUUGAUUGAUUAAUACUAAUCUCUCGGAGACAGACAUUCUUAACAUAAAUGCAUCGAGUAGCUGACACAUUUAGGCAAGUUUUUGGAGAGGGAUGUUUCCAUUGUGUUCAACAAAGUGCUGACAGAGUAUUGUGGUCUCUGGCACAGCGUAGACCAGCACAGCGUAGACCAAGAGGACUGGGCUGAGGGGUAUAGGACACGAGGACCAGAGGAAAGACGGGAGGUCUGGUGAGACUUUGACAAGAUACGAGGCCCAGAGGAAAGACGGGAGGUCUGGUGAGACUUUGACAAGACACGAGGCCCAGAGGAAAGACCUUGACAAGACACGAGGCCCAGAGGAAAGACGGGAGGUCUGGUGAGGCAUGGACAAGACACGAGGCCCAGAGGAAAGACUGGAGGUCUGGUGAGGCAUGGACAAGACACGAGGCCCAGAGGAAAGACGGGAGGUCUGGUGAGGCAUGGACAAGACACGAGGCCCAGAGGAAAGACUGGAGGUCUGGUGAGGCAUGGACAAGACACGAGGCCCAGAGGAAAGACGGGAGGUCUGGUGAGGCAUGGACAAGACACGAGGUUUCCUAGAAGGCUGAUGAUACUGACAGCGCUUUCCGCUCACCAUGUCGACAGUUUCCGUUUCAGAUGGUGCAAUCACGUGCAGUGAUGAGUUUUUAAUUUCCUUUCAUACACUACAGAAGUGGUUUCAUUCAAACCAGUUGAGAUCGAAAUACAAUGUUUAUUACAAGCCAAUAAAGAUUGUAAUACAAUGUUUAGUAUAGGGAGCCAGAACAUAUUCAUUCAGUAUAUAUUAUAAUUGAGUUGUUUCAGUGGUCGCUGACAGAGCUUAGAUUCCCCUGGUCAUGAGCGAGAGAGGCAGUGGUGACAUUGCAGCGCUGCAACACACUUACUCUGGACACGUCCCCACUGAGCCCUGGGAUCAACACAACAGCUGAAUAAAUGCACUGAAAUAGAGAGAUAUGAAUGGGGAGAGAAAAAUGGCUGAGUGUAUGAGAGAGAGAGAGUGGUAUAAAGGGGACAGAGAAGAGGGAGAUUGCAAGUGAAGGAAGGGGGGGGGAAGUGCAGGGAGAGCCUUCCUGUUUUAUUGACGUUCAGGUUCCUGUCUGGUGCUCUAUGUCUUUCAACCCCAGGCAGCCUACACUACAGCACUAUAUCCCACCUCGAUCCCCCUCUCCUCUGCUAGCCUAACAGCCUGUUUACCGACCUCAGCGCUAUGUAGAUCAAAGAGCCUGCCUUAUAGUGCAGGGGCUUUCAGCUCCAUCUCUCUCUCUCCUCUCUCUCUCCAUUUCUCUGCUCGUGACUCGACACAGAGGAGGCAGAUAUAUGGAGGCUCAGAGUGUCUCUACAGGUGAGAGCAGAGGCUGCCAGAUCCAUGGAUCGUACAGUACGGAGGUGUACCGGCUCUGCUGCUUUGCACUGUUGUCUGACUUCAUGGUUACACGGAUUAAUGUUUCCUGGAGGGAGAGAAGAGAGGGGAGAAAGAGAGAUAAGUGUUUAUUUGUGUGUGCGUAUACGUUUAUUUAACUUAACUGUUCUUGUCCAAACAGUGACUGUAGAUCUGUGGCUCCUGUGUCCUCUGCUGUUUCUCUCUGUAGACCAAUGAUUGUUCCCCCUGUCCUGUCUAUGCUGGACCAGGGCAGCCCUGUCUCUCCCUUCUGACUCACUGCAGAGCUCCUGGGUGAUUCAUCCUGCUCAGCAGCCGGCAGCACCCUAUUGGCAUCUUUUCAAAUAAACCUAUAGCGGACCGGACAGGAGCCUUCGGUAAAUCAAAUUAAACACACAGAGCCAAGAGAGGUAUCUCUCUCAUCAGUCAUUUGACAGAAUGGAGGUUGGCACACUACAGGGUCAUCAUCUAUUAAUGGUUUGUAUCUAUGUGUUGUCAGGCCAGAGCUUUCAUCAUACUUUCUUCAUACUAACCACUUCUCGUUCUCACCCCCUCCCCUCUCUCUCUUUCUCGCCUUUCUCCCUCUUUCUGCCAUAAACACAUUCUUUGUUGUCUUGUUGUCUGUGGAGGGUGAAUUGAGUUUUGUUUUUCAGCUAGAGAUUGUAAUGAGACACAGUAUUCCCCUAACGAUCAUUAGUCAGAAUUAACAGAGUUUUGAAUCCCACCCUCACACGGGUCCUCCUGUUCAGCUCUCCUGGCAGUAAAGACUGACUCUCAGCUAUUUGUUUCUGGUAUAUGUCUAUAGGACACGUGUGUGGAAAGGAAAGGGUCAUAUCCUGACUGUCAGCAAGGCUGGUGUGCAAGCACAGUCCCACCUGAGCUGUGCAUGUGAUGUUUCUGUGUACCAGCUCAAGUUUGGAGGAAGUUCAUUGGAUUAGAAUCACUACUUAUGUUUGAUGACCAAAUUCAGUUUGGGUUUUACAGUGGUAGCCACUUUAACAGUAAGCUAAUUUAAAAUCAUCAACCAGUCUUUUAUGAUUCAAUUCAUUCACUGUACUCCACCCAUACCUACACAUCUCCAUUUAAAGGAGCCAGAGAGACACAGGAGUGAAAUUCAUCCCCCUCUCUCAUAUUCCCUCACAGAUCCCUCAGUUCCUCCAACUGUGCAUCCCCUGACUGGUCUGGUGUCAUUCAGACUGCGGUUGAGGCUCACUACCCUUGGAAUGACCAGUGUUUUAUCCUCAUCUUAUCGUGCAAGCUGGGAGAGCUGGGCCUGAGGGCUUCUAAUGAGUAAUUCACAGAGACCAGGACUGUGCAGGCAGUCAAUAAGACACUAAGCCUUAUGGAGCAAACACUGAGUGAACAAAAGAUUUGGAACACCUUUCUAAUAGUUGCACCCCACCCUUUUGCCCUCAGAACAGCCUCAAUUCCUGGGGUCUUGGACUACAAGGUGUCAAGCGUCCCACAGGGAUGCUGGCCCAUGUUGAUUCCAAUGCUUCCCAAAGUUGUCAAGUUUGCUGAUGUUCUUUGGGUGGUGGACCAUUCUUGAUACACAUGGGAAACUGUUGAGCGUGAAAAACCCAGCAGCGUUGCAGUUCUUGACAAAAACCGCUGCGCCUGGCACCUACUACCAUACCCCGUUCAAACUGGCACUUCAUAUUUUGUCUUGACCAUUCACCCUCUGAAUGGCACACAUACACAAUCCAUGUAAAUCAAGACUUAAAAAUGAUUCUUUAUCCUGUCUCUUCCCAUUCAUCCACACUGAUUAUAAGUGCAUUUAAUAAGUGACACCAAUAAGGGAGCAUAGCUUUCACCUGGAUUCACCUUCUAUGUCAUGUAAAAGCAAGUGUUCUUAAUGUUUGGUAUACUCAGUGUAUAUCACAGUGGCCUGAAUAAGGCCAAGACACUGGAGAGAUUGGCUCUCUGGUUGUAAUACGUGUCUCAGUAAUGACUGUGAUUCUUUCCCCUCAUUCUGCAGGGCCUAAUUGGGUUUGGAGCUUGAUGUCUUGUGGGUGUGUGAAUGUUGUGUAUCCAGUUUUUUUUCUCUCAGCUAAAUCUGGUGCAACGCAUCACUUCCCAUACUCUGAGAUGUAUGUUUUGUUGUACAGUGUCCCUGCCAAAUAAAUGUAAUAAAUGAAAGAAAAAUAUUCUCGCUCCAUUCCGAACAAGGGAUUCUAUCCCUAUUGGCUUUCAAAAGGAUGUUAGAUGAGGUCCAGGAGAUUUUGGUUCUGUAUGGAUUUAAUGGACACAAAACAAAGUAAGCGUGUCGGGUCAUUUGUCAUUGAAAAUGGUAGAGGAAUCCAUGUGUUCUACAGUACAUACUCACUCUCUAGUAAAUGAUUUAGCACCAUCUCAAACCUUAUCAAAAGCAGCGACUGAAACAUUAAACUUGGUGCUGUAUAAUUCAUUUAUGAUAUACAUUGCCUCUCCUUGCCCGUGGCUCGGGUCAUGAGAUGAAGUUCUCACAUUCGUAAAAAGUCUCUGUUCCUUCCUUCCUGUCAGCUUGGAGGGGGUUUUAUGAAUAUGGAGUGACAGUAGAUGUGCUGACUUGCACUCUUUCAAGACUUGCUGGAGAUGAAGUAUGAAUGGAAUUUGUACACACGGGAUGUCUGGUUCCACUGGAAUGUGUUGACGACAUGAAAAUAUUUCUCAACACUCUCGUGACCUGAAGACAAGUUGGCUUAGCUUCUCAUUUUCACAGAGCAUAAGAACAUUUAGUAAAAGCAAAAAUGAAAGACAGUAUGACUGGUUAAAUCUUAGUUGCCCAUGAAUAUGUUUUUUCAAAGGACACAUUGUUUCCAUGUUUUACACAGUGACCUACAGUAUAAUGUGUCCACUGCUAGCUACAACAAACCCAAGGCUUUACAAAUGGAGGUAUUUCAGGACAUGAAUAAUGUAUCUCCUAAUUUCCCCUUCAUUUUUGAGAUGCUUUCAAGCAAACCUUUUAAUUAAUAUUUAAAUACUAAUGAUCCGGGUCCCGUUGCAGUUGAAAAAAAGCUCAAACUUCCCAGGUUACCGUCACCAGUAAACUGAUAGGCUGACAGUUUUCAGAGGUACAUUCUGUGACAGGGGUUUGGACUUAGUUGUUGUUUUCCGCUCAGAUUUGCAGAGUUUUGGAAAAGAGAGGUUAGAAACCGAUUAGGAUUUCCUUCAGUUAACAAAUGUUUGAGGGCCUGACGCUGCAGUUUCCCCGAAAUCCACCACAAUGCUUUUAGCGGACAAACUGUAGCUAUCUGGCUGUCCAAUAGAAGCCUGUCUUUAGGCCUAUAUUUUAUGUUCAUGCUACUCUUUUCUUUACAGUAUCAUUAUAUGAGGACCUACUGGACACACCUUUUAGGAUCCCCACUCAUAGAUUAGAAUCAGAAUACUUCUGUUGCCUCACUGUUGUGUGAGCCUCUUAACAACGGUGUCUGACAUCACUAUAGGAGAAUCUAGAAGCUUGGCAAGUGAGGUUAAUAUUGUAUGGAAGAUAAAAAGAGCCCUUCCCCUUUUCCUCAAGGUGAGAUCUACUGUACCUCUCAAAUCACAGUGAUAUGGUGUUCCUUAUCUCAGCCUUCCCACCAUUUGCAUGACAUUAAUUUCCUCCUGUUAAAUCCAUAGCUUAACUCUCCAUCUGUAGCAGAUCUCUUAGGUGAUGAUGUCACUCAGUGCUAAUCACCUUCUCGGUUAUUAUCUCGACUAGCCCCGUGGCUGCUGUCACUCCCACAGCUGGCCUUAAUCAUUUAGUACAGAGCACUUUUGCCUAAAACAACUUUGUGAAAUGAAUUAUUGUACUACUGUCAACGGCCAAAUGAGAAGGUCGUUGAUGUGAAAAAUCAUCAGUCUUCUCCGUUUCAGAAGGAGCACAGAAAGUCAUUCAGCACAGCUCUCAUAAUCUCAACCUUUGCCUGUGUGUGAGUUUCAAACAGUCUGCAACUUCUGUGUGUGAGUUUUUCUCAAAAUGAAGAUGGUAUAAUUAAGCAACAAGGCCCGAGGAGGUGUGGUAUAUGGCCAAUAUACCACGGCUAAGGACUGUUCAUAGGCGAGACACAAUGCAGAUGGCAUGGACACAGCCCUUAGCCGUGGUAUAUUGGCAAUAUACCAUAAAGCUUUAUUGCUAUUAUAAACUGGUUUCCAACGUAAUUAGAGCAGUAAAAAUACAUGUUUUAUCAUACCCGUGGUAUACGGUCUCAUAUAGCACAGCUGUCAGCCAAUCAGCAUUCAGGGCUCAAACCACCCAGUAUAUAAUAUAUAUUAUUUGGCCAUUUGACAGCUUGACACAUCGCCUAGCCUCGCCACAGGGCAGACCUUGUUUUUUCUGUCCCUAAUCAAAAAUGUCAAAUGUACGAUGCGGCAGGCAGGCAGCAAGAGAAAGGCUUACUUUAUGCCCCGUGCCAACUCAAACAAUGGGCAGCGCCAGUGCAGACGGCGAGGCAGGGAGGUGCUCUUCUUGGGCUCAAUAGCACCAGUGUCUCUGGCCGCGGGGCUCGGAUGCCACAGAGAUACAGCGGGUACUACCAGGCCAGGACAUACGAGGGCAAGGGAGCACACAGUAGGUAAGUAGAUCUAGCAGGCCUCCAGCAGAACCCCAGGGCUGAGAGAGCAGACUAUAGAGAGAGGGAGAACAGGACACGACACAGAGGGAACGUCUUGUCUGGAGAAGUGAUUAGCUGGAUGUGGUUGGGGAGGUGAGUGAGGGAGGGGGUUAGGCGGAUGACAGAGAGUGGGGAGGAGGGAUGAAGAGGAUUUGUUGUUGAGGUGUUUUGACCCUUUCACCCCACUGCCCCCCUUAGUUCUUUCUCUGCUUCUCGUUCUCCCCCUCUUUCUCGCUUACUAUUCAACCUCCUUGUAAUACUUACGUCGUACGUACAUCCUUACAAAAAUAAUUGUGUAUUUUUCACAGAAAGUUUGUCUAAUCUCUGAUACGACUGACCAAUAAUGCAAACUAAUUCAACUGGCAACAGAUGCUAUUGUGAGCCGUACAGUCAAUUUGUUAAAUCAACAUCAUUAGAUUUCACUUUGCUCUUGUGUGUCUGAUUUGAUUUAAUAGACAGAUGUACUUGUCAAUCGCCCAAAACAAACAGGCCAGUUAUUAUAUUAAGAGCAUUUCACUCACACAGCUUACGUCUGGAAUAUAGAUGAUCAGGUUUCAAACUAUUUUUGUAACCGUCAGAAGCAGACAGUUUUUACCCACCAAUGUAUCAAAGCCUUUGAAAAUCAAUUUUGGAGCCAGAGAAAGGAAGGAGAGGCGAGGGAGGCGUCUUUUACAACGUUUGGCCUCCGCUUUACAGACUGGAAGUCUGACUGAUGAUGGAUUGGUCACCAUGGUGUCGUUAGACCAGCAAGUAGAUGUCAGCACAGAGCUGUUGUUUGGUUCAAAGGGCUCCACAGUGUUUGGCUGCGGAAGGGAAGUCGAGAAGUUUUCUGUUUUUUUCCUGGAGAAAUGUGUUUGAAAUUUACAGCAAAUGUUGGUUCCUUUUGAUGCUGUUUUUUUUACAUCACCUUUUGUUGUUGUGAGAUGCAGUAAUGCAACUGACUACUUGUCACACCCUGACCUUAGAGAGCCAGUUUAUUUCUCUAUUUGGUUAGGUCAGGGUGUGAUUUGGGUGGGCAUUCUAGUUUUCUAUUUCUUUGUUGGCCGGGUAUGGUUCCCAAUCAGGGGGAUCUGUCUAUCGUUGUCUCUGAUUGGGAAUCAUACUUAGGCAGCCUGUUUUCCACCUUAGUUUGUGGGAUGUUGUUUUUGCUGUAUAGCCCCGCAGAACUUUACGUUGCUUUAUAUUUUGUUGUUUUGUCGGUGUUUCAGUAUUAAAUAUCAUGAACACUUUCCCAUGCUGCGCUUUGGUUUCAUUCAUUCAACGACAGACGUAACAGAACUUCUAUUUUCUAUUCCCAGAAAAUAUGAUGAGACUUGUUUGGCCUGCAUGUUUGGUAUUUUAUGUUUUGAUUCAAUUCAACAUGAAUAAACAUCAUGCAUUCUGUGAAUCAUAAGCGGUCAUAUCAAUUGACCACCUCAACAUGACAUGGACAAAUAUGCCCCGUAAAAGCAGGUCAGUCUCUUUUUCCAUCCCUUGAAUCGUUCAAUAACUGUCUCACCUCUUGACCCCAUUCUCACUGAGAUGGCUGACCUCAUUGUCUUAUGACAUCAUGGUCAUAGCUCAGCUCUCCCUCAGGGUCGCUAUGUAUGACUGUUUAUAGAGACAACAGAGAUGACUCCAAUGUCAGUUCUGGCCAGCAGAUGGCCCUAUCAAUCUGGAGGGUAGAGGCACACUGCAGGACCUGUGUGUCUAUCUAUGGGACAGCUGUGUCAUGCACUCUGUGUCACUAGCCCUUAACCACAGAUCUGAGAUCAGAUUACUACACCCCAAUCCUUAUUUAGCCUGUUUCAGUGGUCGGAGGCAAAGCCAUGACAUGCACUUCAGCUGCCAUCUUGUGUAUUUAUAUUCUCAGUGGUCACUCACAGUUGGUAAUCUGAGCACAGUGCUGUAUGUCAUGGCCGAUCAUGAGGGAUACUCUAACUGGAAAGGAAAGGGGAAGUAGCUACCAGCUUGUCUCAUCGCUACAACUCCCGUACGGGCUCGGGAGAGACGAAGGUUGAAAGUCAUGCGUCCUCCGAUACACAACCCAACCAAGCCGCACUGCUUCUUAACACAGUGCGCAUCCAACCUGGAAGCCAGCCGCACCAAUGCGCCGGAGGAAACACCGUGCACCUGGUCAGCGCACACUGCACCCAGCCCGCCACAGGAGUCGCUGGUGCGCGAUGAGACAAGGACACCCCUACCGACCAAGCCCUCCCUAACCCGGGCGACGCUAGGCCAAUUGUGCGUCGCCCCACGGACCUCCCGGUCGCGGCCGGUUACGACAGAGCCUGGGCGCGAACCCAGGGACUCUGAUGGCACAGCUGGCGCUGCAGUACAGCGCCCUUAACCACUGCGCCACCCGGGAGGCCCCGUUGUUGUUGUUUUUUUAAGCUGGCUCAUAAGAUAUAUGUUUGAUGGCAGUACUGUUGUUUUUGUUCCGGAAUCACUAUAUAAAUAAACACCCUGAAGCACAGAAGAA
Molecule: long non-coding RNA, 8754 nt
Organism: Oncorhynchus nerka (sockeye salmon)
Lineage: Eukaryota; Metazoa; Chordata; Actinopteri; Salmoniformes; Salmonidae
Exons: 3
Source: RefSeq, a predicted model, not a curated record